Molecule: ribosomal RNA, 340 nt
Filed under: uncultured bacterium
Lineage: Bacteria
Description: bacterial SSU rRNA
Rfam family: Bacterial small subunit ribosomal RNA
Source: RNAcentral
AAUGAACGUUGGCAGCGUGGAUUAGGCAUGCAAGUCGAGCGACAAGGUCCCUUCGGGGACUGGAGGAGCGGCAAACGGGGUAGUAAGGCAUCGGAACGUACCCUCUUGUCCGGGAUAGCCGCGGGAAACUGCGAUUAAUACCGGAUAAUCUCAGCGCUUGUGAUGAGUGCUGAGCAAAGGUCCGCCGCGGGAGGAGCGGCCGAUGUGAUAUCAGGUAGUUGGCGGGGUAACGGCCACCAAGCCUUCGACGUCUAGGGGAGUGUGAGAGCAUGAUCCCCACCCACUGGGACGUGAGAUACUGCCCAGACACUUACGGGUGGCUGCAGUCGAGAAUCUUCGG